GCUGUAGCUCAGUGGCAGAGCACUUGCCUAGCAUGUGUGAGGCACUGAGUUCAAUCCUUAGCACCACA
Molecule: transfer RNA, 68 nt
Filed under: Marmota monax (woodchuck)
Lineage: Eukaryota; Metazoa; Chordata; Mammalia; Rodentia; Sciuridae
Description: tRNA.Ala
Source: RNAcentral